UGGGGAAUUUUGGACAAUGGGCGAAAGCCUGAUCCAGCAAUGCCGCGUGUGUGAAGAAGGCCUUCGGGUUGUAAAGCACUUUUGUCCGGAAAGAAAUCCUUGGCUCUAAUACAGUCGGGGGAUGACGGUACCGGAAGAAUAAGCACCGGCUAACUACGUGCCAGCAGCCGCGGUAAUACGUAGGGUGCAAGCGUUAAUCGGAAUUACUGGGCGUAAAGCGUGCGCAGGCGGUUUGCUAAGACCGAUGUGAAAUCCCCGGGCUCAACCUGGGAACUGCAUUGGUGACUGGCAGGCUAGAGUAUGGCAGAGGGGGGUAGAAUUCCACGUGUAGCAGUGAAAUGCGUAGAGAUGUGGAGGAAUACCGACGGCGAAGGCAGCCCCCUGGGCCAAUACUGACGCUCAUGCACGAAAGCGUGGGGAGCAAACAGGAUUAGAUACCCUGGUAGUCCACGCCCUAAACGAUGUCAACUAGUUGUUGGGGAUUCAUUUCCUUAGUAACGUAGCUAACGCGUGAAGUUGACCGCCUGGAGAGUACGGUCGCAAGAUUAAAACUCAAAUGAAUUGACGGGGUCAUAGCUG
Molecule: ribosomal RNA, 579 nt
Filed under: uncultured bacterium
Lineage: Bacteria
Description: partial 16S ribosomal RNA
Rfam family: Bacterial small subunit ribosomal RNA
Source: RNAcentral